This 216-nucleotide unclassified non-coding RNA is filed under the name Ascomycota sp. Its description in RNAcentral is "partial contains small subunit ribosomal RNA, internal transcribed spacer 1, and 5.8S ribosomal RNA". The stretch from base 1 to 47 matches the Rfam family "Eukaryotic small subunit ribosomal RNA", at positions 1785 to 1831 of the family's 1831-position model. The record is from RNAcentral. Lineage: Eukaryota; Fungi; Ascomycota.
AAAGUCGUAACAAGGUUUCCGUAGGUGAACCUGCGGAAGGAUCAUUAACGUGGGGCUUCGGCCCCGCCGAGAUAGAACCCUUGCCUUUUGUAUACCGUCCGUUUCCUCGGCAGGCUCGCCUGCCAAUGGGGACCAUAAUAAACCUUUGUAAUAACCUGUAAUUGUCUGAUCAAAAAAUUAAAUUUAAAACUUUUAACAACGGAUCUCUUGGUUCUG